RNAcentral lists this long non-coding RNA (906 nucleotides) under Marmota monax (woodchuck). The record is from RNAcentral. Lineage: Eukaryota; Metazoa; Chordata; Mammalia; Rodentia; Sciuridae.
CUCUUUUGCAAUAAGUUCUGCACUGUUGCUAUAUCUUAGUUUCAACACCUGGGAACAACAUAACCAAAGUCUCAAUUUGCUACUGCAGAACUGCUAAUUUAAUUCACUCUUGGAGAGCUGCUACAAUGCUGUGGGCUCCUCUGAGCCUGUGUCUUGAAAUCCCUGUUUUUGUUGUAGGAGCAGAUGCUUAAGAUGAGACCUGAGGUCCUCCCCGGCUCUUCCUACUUUGUACCUGGUUGUUGGUGUUUUUUGUUUGUUUGUUUGUUUUUAGUCUUCCCUAUUCUCUGUGUUAAAGUAUUGUUGAAGCUUGAAUGGGGUUGGUUUGUGGUGGAAGUGUGCUGUCUCUUGACUAAACUGUGGGUAUAGAUCGGCAACAAAGUAUCUACACUGAAUUUGUAGUGUCUCAGUCACUUUCCAGGCUUUUUCAGAAAAAAGGAAAACAUACAGUAUUAAAAUAAACACUUGAUGCUUCGUAUGACAUCUACAAAAAGAGGAAUGGCAGGGUCAGCCAUUAGCUCUAGCAACAAGGGCAGAAUUUGCAGGUUUUGGGGCCAGGGCUGGUGUCUUCAUCUACGGUAGGUCACAUGAAGUCACCGCCAUAAUGAUGUUAUCAUGCAUUCCUUGUGUGAGUGUAGGUCAUAUUAGAUAUGGAAAAUGAUACACCCCCAAAGUAGUGAUAACUGGGAAAAGGGGAGUGAGAAGUAAAGCCAUACAUUGGGAACAUUGAUCCUUUCCCAGUACAUUCUUUCCUGGUCAUAAAACAAACCCUGGGGUUGGAAAAGAGGUGUCCAUCAAACCUGGAAAGGCAGUCUCUGAGAAGAGGCUGAAGCAUUAAUUCUUCUAUAAACAAAGUUUGAGGUGGAUAAGAGUCAAAGCAUCAGGCAACCCACAGAGCGAACGAACCAC